This 305-nucleotide ribosomal RNA is filed under the name uncultured bacterium. RNAcentral describes it as "bacterial SSU rRNA". It matches the Rfam family "Bacterial small subunit ribosomal RNA", at positions 334 to 637 of the family's 1533-position model. The record is from RNAcentral.
GAGGCCUACGGGGGGCAGCAGUGAGGAAUAUUGGUCAAUGGGCGGGAGCCUGAACCAGCCAAGCCGCGUGAGGGAAGAAGGUACAGCGGAUCGUAAACCUCUUUUGUCAGGGAACAAAAGCGGGGACUAGUCCCCGGAUGAGGGUACCUGAAGAAAAAGCAUCGGCUAACUCCGUGCCAGCAGCCGCGGUAAUACGGAGGAUGCGAGCGUUAUACGGAUUCAUUGGGUUUAAAGGGAGCGCAGGCGGCCGGUUAAGUCAGCGGUAAAAGCCCGGGGUUCAAACCCGGCGAGCAGUUGAAACUGGG